CAGUCGCCACGGUAAUACAGAGGGUGCGAGCGUUAAUCGGAUUUACUGGGCGUAAAGCGUGCGUAGGCGGCUUUUUAAGUCGGAUGUGAAAUCCCUGAGCUUAACUUAGGAAUUGCAUUCGAUACUGGGAAGCUAGAGUAUGGGAGAGGAUGGUAGAAUUCCAGGUGUAGCGGUGAAAUGCGUAGAGAUCUGGAGGAAUACCGAUGGCGAAGGCAGCCAUCUGGCCUAAUACUGACGCUGAGGUACGAAAGCAUGGGGAGCAAACAGGAUUAGAUACCCGGGUAGUCCCUGUCUCUUAUAA
This 301-nucleotide ribosomal RNA is filed under the name uncultured bacterium. RNAcentral describes it as "partial 16S ribosomal RNA". It matches the Rfam family "Bacterial small subunit ribosomal RNA", at positions 509 to 809 of the family's 1533-position model. The record is from RNAcentral.